UUCAGAUUUUUUUCAGCGCCCUUAUCUCCUACGCGCGUGCUCAUCGAUCCAUUUCAGCUGCCGCGCGUCCCUGCGGUCUUCCAGCUCCAGCGUCGGCUGCUCCUCCCUGGCCACCCGCGCCCCUUGCUUCUCCCUUCUCACGCUCCCCGUCGAGCUCCCUGGUCGCCGCGCAGUCGAGCUCCCUCAGCUCGCUCCUCCUGUGCCGCGCGCCAGCCCCUGGUUCGGCUCUACUCCUCCCUGCUUGCCGUUCCUAUCCCCCUGCCAUGGAGUCCGUCGUCAGUCCGAGCUCGCCCAUCCUCUGCUCGGUUUCAACUUGGUCGUGCCUGCAGCUUCUCCCAUAGUGAGCUCCCUCCACUGCCCUAGGUUCCCAUGGUGAGCUCCCUCCACUGCCCUAGGUUUGUCAAGCGCUACCUCUACUCCAUCUCUUCCUGCUCGAAUCUUGCUGAUUGGCCCUGCGCAGAUUAUCCUCAUGCCCGACCACGGUACAACAGCAACAGCCAUGAAACCCCUUCGUGUCGCGCCCUCGAUAUGCUCGAUGAAAUACCGCAGCGAGCUCCGCUCCGGAUCUGCGCAGCCCCGGCCUUGUUGUCGACCUCAGUGAGCACCUGCUGCUGCCUAGCUGUUUUUGCGCUCUAUGUGUUUGAUAAAAUGAAAGUCAUGUGAAUUGAUUGUGUGCUUGAUUAUGAAGUAUAUUAGUCUAUAUAUGUGAUUAAUUAGUUUCUAUGUAUGCGGAGAUGAUGUUUGCUUAGAAAAAGAGUACUUUGGGAGAUGAAUUGGUGCGGUAUGGUUAAAUUAGUAGUGCCAAGAAUAUGCUUAUUAAUUCUAGCACUUUGCCGAUGAGAGUUAUUAGUGUUGCUUGAAUGAACACCUAAUGUGUGAUGACAUGAAUGCCUUGUCUUAGGAUGUUUCAAGAACAUAGUAAUUAUAGAAGCUAAAAUUUUUAGAAACUAAAUAGGAACUAAAUUAAUUUUUGUUGUUUGGGAUUGCAUGACCAGUUUUAGUUAUGCAACUACUUCAAUGAAGUGAACCAUGUUUUCUAUAGUAAUGGUAUAUAGGAAAGUUGUAGAGAACUUCUUUAUCUUACUUGUGUAAAAAUUUCAUAACCAUAGGUGUAGUAGUUUAGGAGUUAUGAUUUUUCCAAGUCCAGUUUCAGAAUCUGUCCAGAUUCUGUACAGGUUUCGAAAACUGCCUUGUUUGAUUAAGGUAAACUAAAAAUUAGCCCUUAGUAAUUAUAAAAGAAUUGUAGUACUUUGCUUAAUCUUUCCAACAAAUUUUGGAGCACCCUUUUUGGUGGUCUAGAGACCAAGUUAAAGCUGUUUGAACUAUAGAGUCUGAAUCUGUCCAAAUCUGGACAACAAUGUUUGUGUGUAUUAACCGACUUCGAUACACAUUGAAUCACUUUGAGAUGAUUAUAAAUGAAUUAUAGAUAAUUCUUUUAGCUUUCUAAAAAGUCUAGGAUCACCUGAUUUGGAUUUCUGAAACUCCAGUUAUGGAUUUUUGAGGUGAAGAGCCGAAUUUUGUUCAAAUCUGGACAGAAUUAAAGUUUAGCACUGUUUGACCAUUCAAACUGUCGAAUCAUGUUGUGAUGAUAAUAUAAGAGUUAUAGAGGACUGUCUAAGCUUUCCAGAAAGUCUUAGUUUACUAUUUUUGGAUGCCUAUUUUGUGAGUUAUGAGCUAAACAAAUGGUUGCUGUUCUGCUGUCCAAAUUCAGCUAGUAUUAAAAUGACUAUAUGGAGUUUCUUUUGUGUGAAUACCUAGAUUUGGUUAGUUCUUGUCUUAGUUAAUGAAGUCUUAUAACUGCAUAUGGAUGUUUCUUAAUGUUCGGAUUAGGUUCGAGUAAAUUGGAGAACAUGAUCGUUGUGUUGGGGUAUAUAAACCUAUCUAGUGCUUAAUUAAGACUGUUUGUGACAUCUUGCCAUUAAGUAUUAGUGUUAUUUGUGUGAAUUUCUAUUGUUUGGUUGCUUGCAUACCUUGUCUUAAAAAGUUUCAUCUUCUAUAUUAAUUGCUUAAGUUAAUAAAUCACGGAGGAUGGAGAUUUAUUUAUGGUUAUUACUGGUUUGUCAUAUUGAUUCUAUCAGGUCAUGUCGUUUAAGUGUUCUCCAUUGCUAAUAGAAAGUUAGUAAGGGAUAGUAUUUUGGAUUUAUAUAUCUCUAAGCCUUUUCAUGUUGUGACUUGAGUUUUUGGUUGGGGAGUAAAGUAUCCAGGUAGUAAUGAUCAUGCAGCUUAAUUAACUGGUAAUUCAUUGAUUACAAUACGGGUGACUUGGAAUUAGCUUUGGCUAUGCCCUUAUGCUUACGUAGUUGCAAAUAAAUGCUUAAUCAAAUAUGCCUUGUUGUCUAAAUAUGAUGUAUUGUUUUCUUGAUAUUUGGUUAGGUCCAUUUGACUAGAAAGUCAUGACUGAUAUAGAAUUAAAUGUAUCUAGUAGUUAUCCCAAGGGUUGUAAUGUUUGUUUUAAGUAUUAUCCUCUUUAGUAUAGCUUAUCUAUAUUGUGCUUUUUUAUGUCCAUGCUCAUGUGCAUUAUGCAUAUCAUUUAGGUACGAUAAGUGAUCACGUGAUGUGAAGGACUAGAGCUCGGUCGACCACAAGAUGGUGUUAAGUAUUGGUUUCUUCGCAAGGUGAUGCUAAUGAACAAACUUAAGGAUGGACAGACUGAACCAGUGCCAACACACAAGGCUGGUCGCCAAGUGGUCAUCGUCUAACAACACUAACCUAGUGUUAUCCCAGGCAAGCCCCAGUGCAUUUGCCACCUCCUUGCUGUUUUAAAAACAUUUUAUCACUUAUAUGCUGCAUUAGGUGGUAGGAGUUGAAUGGGUAAACCUUUGCUGCAUAACUUCCUUGAAUUAUUGAUUAUCAUCCUUGAUACCUGAUUUGAAAAUCUAGAUAUGCUUAGCCUGCUUAUAGACAAGGAACAAAAUAUUUUGAUGUAUGAAUCAUGUUUUUACAAAGAAAAAGGGGCUGGAAUGAUGAAGGUAUCAAAGGUCUUGAUGACUUCAUCAUUUCGGUAGGGUACCUCUAAUAGGUUCCAGAUUUUCAGAAUUAUUUUAAUAUGAGACCAGACGUUGAGCAGGAAAGGUCGCCCGUUUGUGUCGAUUAAGGACCGUACCGAAAGUAGGCUUGCUGAUCUAGGACCCUUUAACUGGCCACAUGCCUCAUCAUGGGUAAGCUUAGCCUCGGUCGGACCAAUACCAGAAAGGCCGGCCUGCAAUGGGAGUGGAGAGAUGGCGAGAGUAUCGUGUAUCCACCUGGCAAGAGGCUGGAUGGUGGGGUACUGAGCUCUCGGUUAGCGGGGACCUGUUCUGGUCUUAAGAAACCCGUGGGCGAGUUGACAUAUGCAAGGGUUAAGUGCUACAUAUGUCGUGUGGUUGGAGAUCCUCAGCUGAGUAUUAAUCGAUUCGGAUCGCUGUUACUUCUCGGAUAUGAAGACUAGAUCACUGCCCUGCAUCAUAAUUAACAAGUGAAACUAAAGAUGUUAAAAUGAAGCUAGUGUAGAACAAUUGAAUGCUCUAGAUUAGGCAAAUCUAGAUUCAGGAAAAGUACUUAAUUUGUGAAGUAAAAGUUGGCAUAAGGAUCCACUACUAGUAAGCUUUUCUGCAAAAACGAGUCUUUGAAAUUUGAUGAGCUUUACCUUGAUUCCCAACAAACCAGCAUAUCCUUGAGAGUCUUUUCUUUAGUCGGGUAAGUCUUGCUGAGUAAUUGCGUACUCAGGGCUUUAUUCCCUAUUGUUUUUCAG
RNAcentral lists this long non-coding RNA (3730 nucleotides) under Zea mays. RNAcentral describes it as "long non-coding RNA (ZMAY_LNC002071)". The record is from RNAcentral. Lineage: Eukaryota; Viridiplantae; Streptophyta; Magnoliopsida; Poales; Poaceae.